This 10186-nucleotide long non-coding RNA is filed under the name Brassica napus (rape). Its description in RNAcentral is "long non-coding RNA (BNAP_LNC004003)". The record is from RNAcentral. Lineage: Eukaryota; Viridiplantae; Streptophyta; Magnoliopsida; Brassicales; Brassicaceae.
AAGGCGGUCAUUGGUCAAGAUGAAUGUUUUAAAUGGCUUGAUGCUAGAGAAGAAGGGUCGGUGCUAUAUGUUUGCCUUGGAAGUAUCUGUAAUCUUCCUCUGUCUCAGCUCAAGGAGCUUGGGUUAGGCUUAGAAGAAUCCCAAAGACCUUUCAUUUGGGUCAUAAGAGGUUGGGAAAAGUAUAAUGAGCUUGCUGAGUGGAUCCUAGAGAGCGGCUUUGAAGAAAGGGUGAAAGAGAGAGGGCUUCUCAUAAAAGGAUGGGCACCUCAAGUGCUUAUCCUUUCACAUUCUUCUGUUGGGGGAUUCUUGACACAUUGUGGAUGGAACUCAACUCUUGAGGGGAUAACCUCUGGUCUCCCACUCCUCACAUGGCCUCUAUUUGCAGACCAAUUCUGCAAUGAGAAACUAGUUGUGCAGGUACUAAAGGCCGGUGUGAAAGCCGGGGUUGAGCAGCCUAUGAAAUGGGGAGAGGAAGAGAAGAUAGGAGUGUUGGUGGAUAAAGAAGGUGUUAAGAAGGCAGUUGAAGAGUUAAUGGGUGAGAGUGAUGAUGCAAAGGAGAGAAGAAGAAGAGCCAAAGAGCUUGGAGAGUUAGCUCACAAGGCUGUGGAAGAAGGAGGCUCUUCUCAUUCUAAUAUCACUUCCCUCUUAGAAGACAUAAUGCAACUAGCACAAUCCAAUAAUUGAUUAUGUCAUUGUUAAAAGAAAUACAAAUAUUUAUACAUUCUUUAUUUGGAGGAUAGGAGACUUAGUCCAACACGUCCAUAAAGUUAGGUUAAACUUCUUUUAAACAUAUCUAAAAACUUUAAUGAACAACUAGAAUUUUUGGUGGAUUCUCAACCAAGUAAAUCAAAUAUAAAUCUGUCAUAUAAGUUUGAUAUCGUCAGCUUCCUUUGGUUUUUGUUCACUCAUUUUCUAUAUUGCUCCUUUUUGCAUUCACCUUUCUAAUCUUUGUUUGAUCUAAUUCUUAAAAGUCUUAUCAUCUCAUUAUCUAUAGAAUCUUUUUCCAUUACCGAACUCAGGAAAGAAACAUUCACACGAAAGUGUUGUAGGCUCUGGACCUAUGUUCUUUUUUUUUAUUGAUUGUGAUUUUUGAGGCUUCUUGAUACAUAUAGCUGUCUUGAAAAGAGUCCAAAGUUGGAUUUAUCUUCUCGUACUGUUUAUAUUGGAUUGGAGUUUAAUCGAUCUUUAAAGUUUCAAACACUUCUCCUUGGGGUUAAAUUAUUAAUUUAGGUGCCUUUAUUGUAACAAUUUAAGGAUUUACAGAACAUGUAGCUAUCAACAGGCCUCCAAGUUGUUGUUUUUGUGUCUGAAUUAUCUUCUUUGUGUAAGGGAAAGUCAUUACAGGAUGCAAGAUAGGGUCGCAAAGGGACAAACUAUGGAUACACAAUCUGUGGACUGUAUUGGAUGUGUUUGUCAAGUAAAAUCUAUUUUACGUCAUGUAUUACGUCUUCUGUUCAGUUUUUUUUUUGCUCUCCACGCAUCUUUGUUCUAUAUAAGCUCUCUCGCUCUCACAAAUAUAAUCCAGAACCAAGACAAAACUUGAGAGUUUAUCAUCAGCAUGGGUUCUGAAACAGCUAAAAAAUCUUAUCCUCUUCACUUUGUUCUCUUCCCUUUCAUGGCUCAAGGCCACAUGAUUCCCAUGGUGGAUAUCGCAAGGCUCUUGGCUCAGCGAGGUGUGACCAUAACCAUUGUCACAACGCCUUACAAUGCAGGGAGGUUCAAGAAUGUUCUAAGCCGUGCCAUUGAGUCAGCUGGCUUGCCCAUCAAGGUAGUGCAUGUGAAGUUUCCAUCUCAAGAAGCUGGUAUGCCAGAGGGAAAAGAAAAUAUAGAUUUGCUCGACUCCAUAGAGAUGAUGAUACCUUUCUUUAAAGCAGUUAACAUGCUCGAAGAACCGGUUCAGAAGCUCAUGGAAGAGAUGAGCCCUCCACCAAGCUGCUUAAUCUCUGACAUGUGUUUGUUUUAUACAAGCAAACUCGCCAAGACGUUCAAUAUACCAAAGAUCCUCUUCCAUGGCAUGUGUUGCUUUGGUCUUCUGUGUAUGCAUAUUUUACGCGAAAAUCUUGAGAUCUUGGAGAGUUUGGAGUCAGACAAAGAGUACUUCACCGUUCCUUAUUUUCCUGACAAAGUUGAAUUCACAAGACCUCAAGUUCCUGUUGAAACAUAUGUUCCUGGAGAGUGGAAGGAGUUCUUGGAUGGAAUUAAAGAAGCUGAUAAGACAUCCUAUGGAGUGGUGGUCAACACAUUUCAAGAACUGGAGCCUGCUUAUGUCAAAGACUACAAGGAAGCAAGGUCAGGUAAAGCAUGGUCCAUUGGACCUGUUUCCUUGUGCAACAAGGUGGGAGAAGAUAAAGCUGAGAGAGGAAAUAAAUCAGAUAUUGAUAAAGAUGAGUGCCUUAAAUGGCUUGAUUCUAAGGAAGGUGGUUCUGUGCUCUACGUUUGUCUAGGAAGUGUCUGCAAUCUUCCUCUGUCUCAGCUCAAGGAGCUUGGCCUAGGCCUAGAAGAAUCUCAAAGACCUUUCAUUUGGGUCAUAAGAGGUUGGGAAAAAUAUAAAGAGCUUGCUGUGUGGAUCUUGGAGAGCGGCUUUGAAGAAAGGGUGAAAGAGAGAGGGCUUCUCAUUAAAGGAUGGGCACCUCAAGUGCUUAUCCUUUCACACCCUUCUGUUGGAGGAUUCUUGACACACUGCGGAUGGAACUCAACUCUUGAGGGGAUAACCUUUGGUCUCCCACUGCUUACAUGGCCGCUAUUUGCUGACCAAUUCUGUAAUGAGAAAUUAGUGGUGGAGGUGCUAAAAGCUGGUGUGAAAGUAGGGGUUGAGGAGCCUAUGAAAUGGGGAGAAGAGGAGAAGAUAGGUAUGUUGGUGGAUAAAAAAGGUGUUAAGAAGGCAGUUGAAGAGUUAAUGGGUGAAAGUGAUGAGGCUAAGGAGAGGAGAACAAGAGCCAAAGAGCUUGGAGAGUUAGCUCACAAGGCUGUGGAAGAAGGAGGCUCUUCUCAUUCUAAUAUCACAUUACUGUUAGAAGACAUAAUGCAACUAGCACAAUCCAAUAAUUGAUUCAUGUCAUUGUUAAAAGAAAUAGACAUUUAUACAUUAUUCUUCAUUUACUUUAUUUGGAGGUUAUGAGACUUAGUCCAACACGUCCAGCAGAAGACAAGUCAGUGAUAAUAACUUUCCCUUUUUGAAGUCAAGUUCAGAAGUUAGGUUAAACUUCUUUUUAAACAUAUCUAUAAACUUUUAUGAACAACUAGAAUUUUGGUUGAUUCUAAACCAAGUAAUCAAUAUUGUCAUAUAAAAUUUGAUAUUGUCAGCUUCCUUUUAUUUGUUCACUUUCACCUUUCUAAUAUCUGUUUGAUAUAUUCUUAGAAGUGUAAUCAUGUAAUUAUUUGUAGGGAAAUUGGUCAAAUGUUUAUAUUUCUUUUAACAUUAGACUUGGCUAUUAAGAAGCAACAAAAAUCUACAUAUUCAAAAGAGGAGGUCAUGAAAAUAUAUAAGUAAAAGCUUGAUUUAACAGUUUUCAAUUUUUUUUUGUUUUAUUUUUUCUUUUAAAGUCGAGAAAAACAUUUUCGAGUCAACAUUUAUAAUAAUAAAAUACACUCAUGUUAAACUGUAUUUUAUUUAAGAAAAACAAUAUUUGUAACAUCUAUUUAUAAAUUUAAACAAAUAUAUAUUAAAAUAACUUAAUUAGUUCUUGGAUUGUGUUAAUUGCGAUAUGUCUUGUAAGAGGAAUGUGAUGUUAGAAUGAGAAGAGCCUCCUUCAUCCACAGCCCUGUGAGCUACCUUUCCAAGCUCUUUGACUACUCGUCUUCUCUCUUUUGCAUCAUCACCAUCACCCAUCAAUUCGUCAACUGCCUUCUUCACUCCUUCGUUAUCCACCAACACUCCUAUUUUAUCCUCUUCUCCCCAUUUCAUAGUUUCUUCAAUCCCAGCUCCUACACCGACUUUAAGAACCUGCACAACCAGUUUCUGGUUGCAGAACUGGUCUCCAAACAAUGGCCAUGUGAGCAAUGGAACACCUGAGGUGAUUCCUUCUAGAGUCGAGUUCCAUCCACAAUGAGUCAAGAAUCCUCCAACAGAAGGGUGUGAAAGGAUAAGCACUUGUGGUGCCCAUCCUUUUAUGAGAAGCCCUCUCUCUUUGACCCUUUCUUCAAAACCGCUCUCUAAGAACCACUCAGCUAGCUCAUUAUACUUUUCCCAACCUCUAAUGACCCAAAUAAAAGGUCUUUGGGAUUUCUCUAGGCCUAUCCCUAGCUCCUUUAGCUGAGACAGAGGAAGAUUGCAAAUACUUCCAAGGCAAACAUAUAGAACGGACCCUUCUUCUUUAGAAUCAAGCCAUUUAAAACAUUCUUCUUGAUCAAUCACCGCCUUGUUUCCCCUCUCGGCUUUGUCAGCUCCUUUCUUGUUGCACAAGGAAACAGGUCCAAUGGACCAUACUUUCCCAUCUCUAGCCUCUUUGUAAUCUUUGACAUAAGCAUCCUCUAACUCCUGAAAUGUGUUGAUUAUUACACCAUAGGAUGUGGUUUCUGCUUCUGCCAUUGCAUCCAAGAACUCCUUCCAGUCUCCAGUUGCAUUGAUUCUCACUGGAACUUGAGGCUUUGUGAAUUCAACUUUGUCAGGAAAAUUAGGAACAAGGAAAUACUCCUUUUCCGACUUCAAAUUCUGCAAGAUCUCUAGGUUUUGGCGUAAAACAUGCAUACACAAAAGGCAAAAGCAAGAGAAUCCAUGAAAAACGAUCUUUGGUAUAUUGAAGGCCUUGGCGAUUUUGCUUGUAUAAGGCAAACACAAAUCACAUAUUAGACAGCUUGGUCUUGGUUUCAUCUCUUCAACUAGCUUCAUGACCGGCUCUUCGAGCAUGUUAACCAUUUUAAAGAAAGGUACUAUCAAAUCCUUGGAGUCAAGCGAAUCCAUGUUCUCUUUUCCUUCUGGCAGCCCAGCUUCUUGGUAUGGAAGCUUCACAUGCACUACGUUGAUGGGCAAACCAGACUCCAUGGCACGGUUUAAGACAUUCUUGAACCUCUCUGCGUUGUCAGGCGUCGUGACAAUUGUUAUGGUCACGCCGCGCUGAGCCAGGAGCCUUGCGAUAUCGACCAUGGGAAUCAUGUGGCCUUGAGCCAUGAAAGGGAAGAGAACAAAGUGAAGAGGUGGAUGAGCUUGUUGAGGUUUUUGGGAAGCCAUACUUGUUUCAAAUCAGUGAAGAACUUUCGAGUUUUGUUUUUGACUAUAUGGUGGAUAAGAGGAGUGGGAAUAAAAAUGGCUUCACCAAAAUGAUGUAGUAGAUGACGUAAAACCGUACUUUAAAGACAGAUUAUUACGUUCAAGAAGACACAAAUCAAAUUGAACUCUCUCUCUCUCUCGGACAUUACCAAAAUCAAUUUGUCUUUGAAAAUUCAACGUUCAGUUCAAAGUCUCCUAAUCUAAGCUUGGCCCACGGAAAUAACUAUCAGAGGCAGCAAAAAUCAAAUUCAAUGGACUAACAUGUUAUUCUAGGAUUCGUGUCUAACAUAUUAUUAUAUGACAAGACUUUCUAUGUAACGAAUAUACUUUUCUUAUAUAUAAUAUAUUGAAAACUGAAAAAGAAUCUAGCUAAUCAAAAACUAUUGCAUAACAUUAUAUUUAGUGUAAUUUGUAUGAUAUUAUUAGACAGCUUGGUCUUGGUUUCAUCUCUUCAACUAGCUUCAUGACCGGCUCUUCGAGCAUGUUAACCAUUUUAAAGAAAGGUACUAUCAAAUCCUUGGAGUCAAGCGAAUCCAUGUUCUCUUUUCCUUCUGGCAGCCCAGCUUCUUGGUAUGGAAGCUUCACAUGCACUACGUUGAUGGGCAAACCAGACUCCAUGGCACGGUUUAAGACAUUCUUGAACCUCUCUGCGUUGUCAGGCGUCGUGACAAUUGUUAUGGUCACGCCGCGCUGAGCCAGGAGCCUUGCGAUAUCGACCAUGGGAAUCAUGUGGCCUUGAGCCAUGAAAGGGAAGAGAACAAAGUGAAGAGGUGGAUGAGCUUGUUGAGGUUUUUGGGAAGCCAUACUUGUUUCAAAUCAGUGAAGAACUUUCGAGUUUUGUUUUUGACUAUAUGGUGGAUAAGAGGAGUGGGAAUAAAAAUGGCUUCACCAAAAUGAUGUAGUAGAUGACGUAAAACCGUACUUUAAAGACAGAUUAUUACGUUCAAGAAGACACAAAUCAAAUUGAACUCUCUCUCUCUCUCGGACAUUACCAAAAUCAAUUUGUCUUUGAAAAUUCAACGUUCAGUUCAAAGUCUCCUAAUCUAAGCUUGGCCCACGGAAAUAACUAUCAGAGGCAGCAAAAAUCAAAUUCAAUAGACUAACAUGUUAUUCUAGGAUUCGUGUCUAACAUAUUAUUAUAUGACAGACUUUCUAUGUAACGAAUAUACUUUUCUUAUAUAUAGUAUAUUGAAAACUGAAAAAGAAUCUAGCUAAUUAAAAACUAUUGCAUAACAUUAUAUUUAGUGUAAUUUGUAUGAUAUAUCAUAUUGUAAUACAUAUCUUUUAAAAUAUUUGAUGACUUGAAUGAAUAAUUUUUGUUUUUAAUUAAAAGCAUCAUAUGUGAAAACUUCUAUAAAUAAGUAUAUAUUGUUUGCUCUUUCUCAUUAACCGAUUAAUAAAAGUGAUUUAUUAGUAUAUGUUGUGAUAAUAAGGAAAGCUUUUUUAUUUUUUUAUUUCUUUGGUUAUAUACUUAAUUAUGUUUUUUUGUCAUUCAGCUCUAUUUCCCUUGCUUUAUUUAUAAUUGGAGACUUCGUCAGCAAGUCCAGCAGAAGACAAGUCAAUGAUAAUAACUUUCACUUUCUGAAGUCAAAUUCCGAAAGUCAGCUUAAAUUUCUUUUAGGCAUAUCUUAAAACUUUUAUAAAUGAAUAACUAAAACUAAUACCAAUCGUGCAGGUUCUUGAAGAGGUUAUGAAAUGGGGAGAAGAGGAGAAGAUAGGCGUGUUGGUGGAUAAUGAAGGUGUGAAGAAGGCUGUGGAAGAAUUGAUGGGUGAUGGUGAUGAUGCUAAGGAGAGAAGAAGAAGAGCCAAAGAGCUUGGAAAGUUGUCUCACAGGGCUAUGUAUGAAGGAGGCUCUUCUUAUUCUAACAUCACAUUCCUCUUACAAGACAUAUCGUAGUUAGCACAAUCCAAGAAUUGAUUACGUCAAUAUUUUCUUAAAGCUAAGAAAAAAUGUUACCAAUAAUGUCAUUCUUAAGAAACUAUAGUUUAUCAUUCUUCUAAUAAUAUAGUUUAUCACAGAAAAGAUAAACAAUACUAAAGAUAGAUAAAAUGUUGUAAAAUGUUGGCGACUCAAGCGACUAUCUUUCAUCUCUGGAAACAGAGAAACAACGCUUAUCACAACAGCUGUGUGGUUCUUCCUCCUGUGAUCUCGAAAAUGAUUUAUAAGGAUGUCAAGAAUACGAUCUUGGCAAGAUGGAAUAGGAAGCAAUUUCGUACCUUCUUAUCUCUUUGGAUCACUUAAUCUUUGUGUAAUGUUGCUCUAGUUGAUCUACCUUGUUUUUAUUUGUUUUUGCUUAGGUAGAGUAUUUUUUAGAUUCUACUUUGUAAAAUCUGAACAUCAUUAAUAUGAUAUUAGCAUUCUUAGCAAAAAAAUAAAUAAAAUGUUGUACGACGAAGCUUUCAUUUAUAUAUUUGCAUGGCAAGUUUUUUUUUUUGCAUGGCAAGUUUAUUUGGCGGCUGUGGACUUAAUACACAAGUGUUGUGAUUUACUUAUCUUUUGAUGGUCAUUAUAUAUUAUGAACGUGAAGUAAUAGAUCUUUUUCCAUUUUUUUAUGAGGAUUAUCUAAUAUAUAUCUUUUGAUGGUAUAUAUUAGUACUUUUCGGUUUCAUAAAAAAAAAAAUUGUGUUCAUAGUAUUAAGAAGACAUAUUAAAUUUAUAAUAAAUGUAUUAAUUUUUAUAAAUAUAUUUUUUAAUAAAGUUACGAUUUGUUAUCAUUAAAUAAUAUAAAAUUUACAGAAUACACGAAAUUCUAUAUUUGCAAAACAAAAUUUUCCCCAAACUUUUUAGUGGAAUUAACGGAGGUAGUAUCAAUGAAACAAAAUGAUAAAUGGGUGAAACCUAUACUUAGUUCCACCAUUUUCUUCGAGUUCCAACAAUUUUUGUAGUUCCACUUCGAGUUCUAACACUCUUUACUCCAGUUCCAAAUUCGAACAAUCUUCUUAGGCGCAAAACUUACGUAAACAACAGCUUUGGAUAAUUGGCUUCAGUAGUAGGUAUUGUCUCUUUGUAAAAAAAUAUGGGGGACCAUGAUUAGAAUCCACGAAAAUUUCAAUAACAGUUUGUCACUAUACAUGUCUUCAUGUCUUAAAUGACAAGAAAACUGAUCAAUGUGCUUAAUAGAUAAGUCUAGAGUUAAUUUGGUCUGGUUAACAAAAGAAACACGUACGUUAUAUGCAAAUUAGUCUUUAAAGCUAUGUGACAGAAUAUGAACCCUCAAAACAAGGACUAAUAUAUACCAUCCCUUGGAAGAUUUUGGCAUGCAAAAACCAUAGUGGUACAGCAUAUAUCUUAGUAUGUAAUUGUCAUAUAUACUUUUGAAGAUAAGUACUCUUAAGUUUUAUGCCUUUUUAUUGGUGCUUUGAUGGUUGUAAAUAUCAAAGCUAUGUUUACCCAAAUAAUGUUAUAGAGAUUACCGUGGGCGAAGCUUGAUUUGAAGGCUUUGAAAUGAACGUUGAAGUUUCAAAGACAAUUUGAUUUUGGUAAUGUCCGAGAGAAUUAAUAUUGAUUUUGCGUCUUGCGCAUCAAGUAUCUUAAUUAAUUUUAAUUACCUCUUAGUAACUUUCAAGGGAAAUAAAGGACACUAGGAGACGCAUAAUAGUCACAAAAGGACAACAGAAGAAAGUAUUGGCCAAGAAACGUCUUCUUGAACGUAGUAAUCUGUCUUUUAUGUCAACAAUAUUAUGUGUUGCUUGACGUCAUGUACUACAUCAGUUUGGUCUUAUAAAUCUUAUAUAAGCCAACGAUCAGUCGAUCACACACCCACAACACAAGCAAAACAAACUUGAAAGUUGAAAUCACUAUGGCUUCCCAAAACUCUCAACAACUUCAUCCUCCUCUUCACUUUGUUCUCUUCCCUUUCAUGGCUCAGGGCCACAUGAUUCCCAUGGUUGAUAUUGCAAGGCUUCUGGCUCAGCGCGGUGUGACCAUAACAAUUGUCACAACUCCUCACAACGCAGAGAGGUUCAAGAAUGUAUUCGACCGUGCCAUCGAGUCUGGUUUGCCCAUCAACGUAGUGCAUGUGAAGCUUCCAUAUGCAGAAGCUGGGCUGCCAGAAGGAAAAGAGAAUCUCGACUUGCUCGACUCGAUAGAGUUCAGGGUACCUUUCUUUAAAGCAGCUAACAUGCUAGAAGAGCCGGUCCUGAAGCUACUAGAAGAUAUGAAACCUAGACCAAGCUGUCUAGUUUCUUCUUUUUGUUUGCCGUACACAAGUAAAAUCGCCAAGGCGUUCAAUAUACCAAAGAUCGUUUUCCAUGGAUUGUCUUGCUUUUGUCUUUUGUGUAUGCAUGUUUUACGCAACAAUCUUGAGAUCUUGGAGAAUUUAAAGUCUGACAAAGAGUAUUUCUAUGUUCCUAGUUUUCCUGACAGAGUUCAAUUCACAAAGCCUCAGUUCCCUGUGAGCACCAAUGAAAAGGGAGGUUGGACGGACAUCUUGGACGCAAUGAUAGAAGCAGAUAACACAUCUUACGGUGUAAUCACCAACACAUUUCAAGAGCUGGAACCUGCUUAUGUCAAAGAGUACAAAGACGCUAGAGAUGGGAAAGUAUGGUCAAUUGGACCUGUUUCCUUGUGCAACAAGAUAGAAGACAAAGCUGAGAGGGGAAACAAGGCGGUUAUUGGCCAAGAAGAGUGUAUCAAGUGGCUUGAUUCUAAAGAAAAAGGGUCGGUGAUAUAUGUUUGCCUUGGAAGUAUCUGCAAUCUUCCUCUCUCUCAGCUCAAGGAGCUAGGGCUAGGCCUAGAGAAAUCUCAAAGACCUUUCAUCUGGGUCAUUAGAGGUUGGGAAAAGUAUAAUGAGCUCGCUGAGUGGUUAUCAGAGAGCGGUUUUGAAGAAAGGGUCAAAGAGAGAGGGCUUCUCAUAAAAGGAUGGGCACCUCAAGUGCUUAUCCUUUCCCAUUCUUCUGUUGGAGGAUUCUUAACGCAUUGCGGAUGGAACUCAACUCUAGAAGGAAUCACCUCGGGUGUUCCAUUGCUCACAUGGCCAU